Molecule: ribosomal RNA, 821 nt
Filed under: uncultured bacterium
Lineage: Bacteria
Description: bacterial SSU rRNA
Rfam family: Bacterial small subunit ribosomal RNA
Source: RNAcentral
UUAUACCGUAGCUUGCUACACCAUAGACUGUGAGUUGCGAACGGGUGAGUAACGCGUAGGUAACCUACCUAUUAGAGGGGGAUAACUAUUGGAAACGAUAGCUAAUACCGCAUAACAGUAUGUAACACAUGUUAGAUGCUUGAAAGAUGCAAUUGCAUCGCUAGUAGAUGGACCUGCGUUGUAUUAGCUAGUAGGUAGGGUAAUGGCCUACCUAGGCAACGAUACAUAGCCGACCUGAGAGGGUGAUCGGCCACACUGGGACUGAGACACGGCCCAGACUCCUACGGGAGGCAGCAGUAGGGAAUCUUCGGCAAUGGGGGGAACCCUGACCGAGCAACGCCGCGUGAGUGAAGAAGGUUUUCGGAUCGUAAAGCUCUGUUGUUAAGGAAGAACGAGUGUGAGAAUGGAAAGUUCAUGCUGUGACGGUACUUAACCAGAAAGGGACGGCUAACUACGUGCCAGCAGCCGCGGUAAUACGUAGGUCCCGAGCGUUGUCCGGAUUUAUUGGGCGUAAAGCGAGCGCAGGCGGUUAGGAAAGUCUGAAGUGAAAGGCAGUGGCUCAACCAUUGUAGGCUUUGGAAACUGUUUAACUUGAGUGCAGAAGGGGAGAGUGGAAUUCCAUGUGUAGCGGUGAAAUGCGUAGAUAUAUGGAGGAACACCGGUGGCGAAAGCGGCUCUCUGGUCUGUAACUGACGCUGAGGCUCGAAAGCGUGGGGAGCGAACAGGAUUAGAUACCCUGGUAGUCCACGCCGUAAACGAUGAGUGCUAGGUGUUAGGUCCUUUCCGGGACUUAGUGCCGCAGCUAACGCAUUAAGCACUCC